This 254-nucleotide ribosomal RNA is filed under the name uncultured bacterium. Its description in RNAcentral is "partial 16S ribosomal RNA". It matches the Rfam family "Bacterial small subunit ribosomal RNA", at positions 524 to 776 of the family's 1533-position model. The record is from RNAcentral.
CACGUAGGGUGCGAGCGUUGUCCGGAAUUAUUGGGCGUAAAGAGCUCGUAGGCGGUGUGUCGCGUCGGCCGUGAAAACCUGCAGCUUAACUGUGGGCUUGCGGUCGAUACGGGCAUCACUGGAGUUCGGCAGGGGAGACUGGAAUUCCUGGUGUAGCGGUGAAAUGCGCAGAUAUCAGGAGGAACACCGGUGGCGAAGGCGGGUCUCUGGGCCGACACUGACGCUGAAGCGCGAAAGCUAGGGGAGCGAACGGG